UCUCCGUAGGUGAACCUGCGGAGGGAUCAUUACUGAGUGAGGGUCUCCGGGCCCGACCUCCAACCCUUUGUGAAUCGUACUCGUUGCUUCGGGGGCGACCCUGCCGUCCGCGGCUGAGCGCCCCCGGGGUCAAUCAAACCCUGCGUAACUAAGUCGUCGGAGUUUAAACAAAUUAAACAAAACUUUCAACAACGGAUCUCUUGGUUCGGGCAUCGAUGAAGAACGCAGC
This 229-nucleotide unclassified non-coding RNA is filed under the name uncultured fungus. RNAcentral describes it as "sequence contains ITS1, 5.8S rRNA gene". The stretch from base 181 to 229 matches the Rfam family "5.8S ribosomal RNA", at positions 1 to 49 of the family's 154-position model. Lineage: Eukaryota; Fungi. The record is from RNAcentral.